AUUGAACGCUGGCGGCAGGCCUAACACAUGCAAGUCGAGCGGAAACGAGUUAUCUGAACCUUCGGGGAACGAUAACGGCGUCGAGCGGCGGACGGGUGAGUAAUGCCUAGGAAAUUGCCCUGAUGUGGGGGAUAACCAUUGGAAACGAUGGCUAAUACCGCAUGAUGCCUACGGGCCAAAGAGGGGGACCUUCGGGCCUCUCGCGUCAGGAUAUGCCUAGGUGGGAUUAGCUAGUUGGUGAGGUAAGGGCUCACCAAGGCGACGAUCCCUAGCUGGUCUGAGAGGAUGAUCAGCCACACUGGAACUGAGACACGGUCCAGACUCCUACGGGAGGCAGCAGUGGGGAAUAUUGCACAAUGGGCGCAAGCCUGAUGCAGCCAUGCCGCGUGUAUGAAGAAGGCCUUCGGGUUGUAAAGUACUUUCAGUCGUGAGGAAGGCGGCGUCGUUAAUAGCGGCGUUGUUUGACGUUAGCGACAGAAGAAGCACCGGCUAACUCCGUGCCAGCAGCCGCGGUAAUACGGAGGGUGCGAGCGUUAAUCGGAAUUACUGGGCGUAAAGCGCAUGCAGGUGGUUUGUUAAGUCAGAUGUGAAAGCCCGGGGCUCAACCUCGGAAUAGCAUUUGAAACUGGCAGACUAGAGUACUGUAGAGGGGGGUAGAAUUUCAGGUGUAGCGGUGAAAUGCGUAGAGAUCUGAAGGAAUACCGGUGGCGAAGGCGGCCCCCUGGACAGAUACUGACACUCAGAUGCGAAAGCGUGGGGGGCAAACAGG
This 769-nucleotide ribosomal RNA is filed under the name uncultured Pseudoalteromonadaceae bacterium. RNAcentral's name for it is "bacterial SSU rRNA". It matches the Rfam family "Bacterial small subunit ribosomal RNA", at positions 28 to 776 of the family's 1533-position model. The record is from RNAcentral. Lineage: Bacteria; Pseudomonadati; Pseudomonadota; Gammaproteobacteria; Alteromonadales; Pseudoalteromonadaceae.